This 253-nucleotide ribosomal RNA is filed under the name uncultured bacterium. RNAcentral describes it as "partial 16S ribosomal RNA". It matches the Rfam family "Bacterial small subunit ribosomal RNA", at positions 524 to 776 of the family's 1533-position model. The record is from RNAcentral.
UACGGAGGGUGCAAGCAUUGAUCGGAAUUACUGGGCGUAAAGGGCGCGUAGGCGGUUUUAAAAGUCAGAUGUGAAAUUCCGGGGCUCAACUUCGGAGCUGCAUUUGAAACUUUAGAGCUAGAGUACAGUUAGGGUAAACGGAAUUCCACGUGUAGCGGUGAAAUGCGUAGAUAUGUGGAAGAACACCGGUGGUGAAGACGGUUUACUGGGCUGAAACUGACGCUGAGGCGCGAAAGCUAGGGGAGCAAACAGG